AGUGAACGCUGGCGGUAGGCCUAACACAUGCAAGUCGAACGGCAGCACAGUAAGAGCUUGCUCUUACGGGUGGCGAGUGGCGGAUGGGUGAGGAAUACAUCGGAAUCUACUUUUUCGUGGGGGUUAACGUAGGGAAACUUACGCUAAUACCGCAUACGACCUACGGGUGAAAGCAGGGGAUCUUCGGACCUUGCGCGAUUGAAUGAGCCGAUGUCGGAUUAGCUAGUUGGCGGGGUAAAGGCCCACCAAGGCGACGAUCCGUAGCUGGUCUGAGAGGAUGAUCGGCCACACUGGAACUGAGACACGGUCCAGAGGCCUACGGGAGGCAGCAGUGGGGAAUAUUGGACAAUGGGCGCAAGCCUGAUCCAGCCAUACCGCGUGGGUGAAGAAGGCCUUCGGGUUGUAAAGCCCUUUUGUUGGGAAAGAAAAGCAGCAGGUUAAUACCCCGCUGUUCUGACGGUACCCAAAGAAUAAGCACCGGCUAACUUCGUG
This 492-nucleotide ribosomal RNA is filed under the name uncultured bacterium. RNAcentral describes it as "partial 16S ribosomal RNA". It matches the Rfam family "Bacterial small subunit ribosomal RNA", at positions 29 to 507 of the family's 1533-position model. The record is from RNAcentral.